RNAcentral lists this ribosomal RNA (292 nucleotides) under uncultured Verrucomicrobiota bacterium. Its description in RNAcentral is "uncultured Verrucomicrobia bacterium partial 16S ribosomal RNA". Lineage: Bacteria; Pseudomonadati; Verrucomicrobiota. The record is from RNAcentral.
GGACUACCGGGGUUUCUAAUCCCGUUUGCUCCCCUGGCCUUCGUGCCUCAGUGUCAGGAACUGUCCAGAGACCCGCCUUCGCCACUGGUCUUCCUCAUGAUCUCUACGCAUUUCACUGCUACACCAUGAAUUCCAGUCUCCUCUCCAGUCCUCAAGCACCGCAGUAUCGAAUGCAGUUCCGAGGUUAAGCCUCAGGAUUUCACACCCGACUUACAGCGCCACCUACGCACCCUUUACGCCCAAUGAAUCCGAACAACGCUCGAGACCUCUGUAUUACCGCGGCGGCUGGCAC